This 2271-nucleotide ribosomal RNA is filed under the name Streptococcus pneumoniae. RNAcentral's name for it is "bacterial LSU rRNA". It matches the Rfam family "Bacterial large subunit ribosomal RNA", at positions 3 to 2297 of the family's 2925-position model. The record is from RNAcentral. Lineage: Bacteria; Bacillati; Bacillota; Bacilli; Lactobacillales; Streptococcaceae.
UUAAGUUAAUAAGGGCGCACGGUGGAUGCCUUGGCACUAGGAGCCGACGAAGGACGUGACAAACGACGAUAUGCCUUGGGUAGCUGUAAGUAAGCGAUGAUCCAGGGAUUUCCGAAUGGGGGAACCCAACAGGUAAUACCUGUUACCUACAUCUGUUAAGGAUGUGAGGAGGAAGACGCAGUGAACUGAAACAUCUAAGUAGCUGCAGGAAGAGAAAGCAAAAGCGAUUGCCUUAGUAGCGGCGAGCGAAACGGCAGAAGGGCAAACCGAAGAGUUUACUCUUCGGGGUUGUAGGACUGCAAUGUGGACUCAAAGAUUAUAGAAGAAUGAUUUGGGAAGAUCAGCCAAAGAGAGUAAUAGCCUCGUAUUUAAAAUAGUCUUUGUACUUAGCAGUAUCCUGAGUACGGCGGGACACGUGAAAUCCCGUCGGAAUCUGGGAGGACCAUCUCCCAACCCUAAAUACUCCCUAGUGACCGAUAGUGAACCAGUACCGUGAGGGAAAGGUGAAAAGCACCCCGGGAGGGGAGUGAAAUAGAACCUGAAACCGUGUGCCUACAACAAGUUCGAGCCCGUUAAUGGGUGAGAGCGUGCCUUUUGUAGAAUGAACCGGCGAGUUACGUUAUGAUGCGAGGUUAAGUUGAAGAGACGGAGCCGUAGGGAAACCGAGUCUGAAUAGGGCGCCUUAGUAUCAUGACGUAGACCCGAAACCAUGUGACCUACCCAUGAGCAGGUUGAAGGUGCGGUAAGACGCACUGGAGGACCGAACCAGGGCACGUUGAAAAGUGCUUGGAUGACUUGUGGGUAGCGGAGAAAUUCCAAACGAACUUGGAGAUAGCUGGUUCUCUCCGAAAUAGCUUUAGGGCUAGCGUCGACAUUAGAGAUUCUUGGAGGUAGAGCACUGUUUGGGUGAGGGGUUCAUCCCGGAUUACCAAUCUCAGAUAAACUCCGAAUGCCAAUGAAUUAUGGUCGGCAGUCAGACUGCGAGUGCUAAGAUCCGUAGUCGAAAGGGAAACAGCCCAGACCACCAGCUAAGGUCCCAAAAUAAUUGUUAAGUGGAAAAGGAUGUGGGGUUGCACAGACAACUAGGAUGUUAGCUUAGAAGCAGCUAUUCAUUCAAAGAGUGCGUAAUAGCUCACUAGUCGAGUGACCCUGCGCCGAAAAUGUACCGGGGCUAAAACAAUUUACCGAAGCUGUGGAUACCUUUAUAGGUAUGGUAGGAGAGCGUUCUAUGUGUGAUGAAGGUAUACCGUGAGGAGUGCUGGAACGCAUAGAAGUGAGAAUGCCGGUAUGAGUAGCGAAAGACAGGUGAGAAUCCUGUCCACCGUAAGACUAAGGUUUCCAGGGGAAGGCUCGUCCGCCCUGGGUUAGUCGGGACCUAAGGAGAGACCGAAAGGUGUAUCCGAUGGACAACAGGUUGAUAUUCCUGUACUAGAGUAUGUAGUGAUGGAGGGACGCAGUAGGCUAACUAAAGCAGACGAUUGGAAGAGUCUGUCUAAGCAGUGAGGUGUGAAUUGAGUCAAAUGCUUAAUUCUAUAACAUUGAGCUGUGAUGGGGAGCGAAGUUUAGUAGCGAAGUUAGUGACGUCACACUGCCAAGAAAAGCUUCUAGCGUUUAAACAUACUCUACCCGUACCGCAAACCGACACAGGUAGUCGAGGCGAGUAGCCUCAGGUGAGCGAGAGAACUCUCGUUAAGGAACUCGGCAAAAUGACCCCGUAACUUCGGGAGAAGGGGUGCUGACUUAAAGUCAGCCGCAGUGAAUAGGCCCAAGCAACUGUUUAUCAAAAACACAGCUCUCUGCUAAAUCGUAAGAUGAUGUAUAGGGGGUGACGCCUGCCCGGUGCUGGAAGGUUAAGAGGAGUGCUUAGCGUAAGCGAAGGUAUGAAUUGAAGCCCCAGUAAACGGCGGCCGUAACUAUAACGGUCCUAAGGUAGCGAAAUUCCUUGUCGGGUAAGUUCCGACCCGCACGAAAGGCGUAAUGAUUUGGGCACUGUCUCAACGAGAGACUCGGUGAAAUUUUAGUACCUGUGAAGAUGCAGGUUACCCGCGACAGGACGGAAAGACCCCAUGGAGCUUUACUGCAGUUUGAUAUUGAGUGUCUGUACCACAUGUACAGGAUAGGUAGGAGUCUAAGAGAUCGGGACGCCAGUUUCGAAGGAGACGCUGUUGGGAUACUACCCUUGUGUUAUGGCCACUCUAACCCAGAUAGGUGAUCCCUAUCGGAGACAGUGUCUGACAGGCAGUUUGACUGGGGCGGUCGCCUCCUAAAAGG